This 248-nucleotide unclassified non-coding RNA is filed under the name Hevea brasiliensis (rubber tree). Lineage: Eukaryota; Viridiplantae; Streptophyta; Magnoliopsida; Malpighiales; Euphorbiaceae. The record is from RNAcentral.
GUGGGUGUGGGUUGGGGUGUGGUGCUGUUGGGGUGGGGGGAAGUAAGGGGAUAUUCACAUGCUUCUAAAACUACUUAUAUCAAUUUCUCCAAGUAACUGUUGAAAAUUAUGUGUUGAAUCAAUCAAUUAAUGUAAAGUUCCUCAUCCAAGAAAGAAUCUCCUGCUUUUCUUUUACCCUCAAACUCAACAAGUAAAAUAAUUCUCUCAGUAACAUUUGUGCGAUGCAACUCAACUCCACUCAACUCAAC